RNAcentral lists this ribosomal RNA (2933 nucleotides) under Escherichia coli. Its description in RNAcentral is "23S ribosomal RNA". It matches the Rfam family "Bacterial large subunit ribosomal RNA". The record is from RNAcentral. Lineage: Bacteria; Pseudomonadati; Pseudomonadota; Gammaproteobacteria; Enterobacterales; Enterobacteriaceae.
GGGUUGUGAGGUUAAGCGACUAAGCGUACACGGUGGAUGCCCUGGCAGUCAGAGGCGAUGAAGGACGUGCUAAUCUGCGAUAAGCGUCGGUAAGGUGAUAUGAACCGUUAUAACCGGCGAUUUCCGAAUGGGGAAACCCAGUGUGUUUCGACACACUAUCAUUAACUGAAUCCAUAGGUUAAUGAGGCGAACCGGGGGAACUGAAACAUCUAAGUACCCCGAGGAAAAGAAAUCAACCGAGAUUCCCCCAGUAGCGGCGAGCGAACGGGGAGCAGCCCAGAGCCUGAAUCAGUGUGUGUGUUAGUGGAAGCGUCUGGAAAGGCGCGCGAUACAGGGUGACAGCCCCGUACACAAAAAUGCACAUGCUGUGAGCUCGAUGAGUAGGGCGGGACACGUGGUAUCCUGUCUGAAUAUGGGGGGGACCAUCCUCCAAGGCUAAAUACUCCUGACUGACCGAUAGUGAACCAGUACCGUGAGGGAAAGGCGAAAAGAACCCCGGCGAGGGGAGUGAAAAAGAACCUGAAACCGUGUACGUACAAGCAGUGGGAGCACGCUUAGGCGUGUGACUGCGUACCUUUUGUAUAAUGGGUCAGCGACUUAUAUUCUGUAGCAAGGUUAACCGAAUAGGGGGAGCCGAAGGGAAACCGAGUCUUAACUGGGCGUUAAGUUGCAGGGUAUAGACCCGAAACCCGGUGAUCUAUCCAUGGGCAGGUUGAAGGUUGGGUAACACUAACUGGAGGACCGAACCGACUAAUGUUGAAAAAUUAGCGGAUGACUUGUGGCUGGGGGUGAAAGGCCAAUCAAACCGGGAGAUAGCUGGUUCUCCCCGAAAGCUAUUUAGGUAGCGCCUCGUGAAUUCAUCUCCGGGGGUAGAGCACUGUUUCGGCAAGGGGGUCAUCCCGACUUACCAACCCGAUGCAAACUGCGAAUACCGGAGAAUGUUAUCACGGGAGACACACGGCGGGUGCUAACGUCCGUCGUGAAGAGGGAAACAACCCAGACCGCCAGCUAAGGUCCCAAAGUCAUGGUUAAGUGGGAAACGAUGUGGGAAGGCCCAGACAGCCAGGAUGUUGGCUUAGAAGCAGCCAUCAUUUAAAGAAAGCGUAAUAGCUCACUGGUCGAGUCGGCCUGCGCGGAAGAUGUAACGGGGCUAAACCAUGCACCGAAGCUGCGGCAGCGACGCUGAUGCGUUGUUGGGUAGGGGAGCGUUCUGUAAGCCUGCGAAGGUGUGCUGUGAGGCAUGCUGGAGGUAUCAGAAGUGCGAAUGCUGACAUAAGUAACGAUAAAGCGGGUGAAAAGCCCGCUCGCCGGAAGACCAAGGGUUCCUGUCCAACGUUAAUCGGGGCAGGGUGAGUCGACCCCUAAGGCGAGGCCGAAAGGCGUAGUCGAUGGGAAACAGGUUAAUAUUCCUGUACUUGGUGUUACUGCGAAGGGGGGACGGAGAAGGCUAUGUUGGCCGGGCGACGGUUGUCCCGGUUUAAGCGUGUAGGCUGGUUUUCCAGGCAAAUCCGGAAAAUCAAGGCUGAGGCGUGAUGACGAGGCACUACGGUGCUGAAGCAACAAAUGCCCUGCUUCCAGGAAAAGCCUCUAAGCAUCAGGUAACAUCAAAUCGUACCCCAAACCGACACAGGUGGUCAGGUAGAGAAUACCAAGGCGCUUGAGAGAACUCGGGUGAAGGAACUAGGCAAAAUGGUGCCGUAACUUCGGGAGAAGGCACGCUGAUAUGUAGGUGAGGUCCCUCGCGGAUGGAGCUGAAAUCAGUCGAAGAUACCAGCUGGCUGCAACUGUUUAUUAAAAACACAGCACUGUGCAAACACGAAAGUGGACGUAUACGGUGUGACGCCUGCCCGGUGCCGGAAGGUUAAUUGAUGGGGUUAGCGCAAGCGAAGCUCUUGAUCGAAGCCCCGGUAAACGGCGGCCGUAACUAUAACGGUCCUAAGGUAGCGAAAUUCCUUGUCGGGUAAGUUCCGACCUGCACGAAUGGCGUAAUGAUGGCCAGGCUGUCUCCACCCGAGACUCAGUGAAAUUGAACUCGCUGUGAAGAUGCAGUGUACCCGCGGCAAGACGGAAAGACCCCGUGAACCUUUACUAUAGCUUGACACUGAACAUUGAGCCUUGAUGUGUAGGAUAGGUGGGAGGCUUAGAAGUGUGGACGCCAGUCUGCAUGGAGCCGACCUUGAAAUACCACCCUUUAAUGUUUGAUGUUCUAACGUUGACCCGUAAUCCGGGUUGCGGACAGUGUCUGGUGGGUAGUUUGACUGGGGCGGUCUCCUCCUAAAGAGUAACGGAGGAGCACGAAGGUUGGCUAAUCCUGGUCGGACAUCAGGAGGUUAGUGCAAUGGCAUAAGCCAGCUUGACUGCGAGCGUGACGGCGCGAGCAGGUGCGAAAGCAGGUCAUAGUGAUCCGGUGGUUCUGAAUGGAAGGGCCAUCGCUCAACGGAUAAAAGGUACUCCGGGGAUAACAGGCUGAUACCGCCCAAGAGUUCAUAUCGACGGCGGUGUUUGGCACCUCGAUGUCGGCUCAUCACAUCCUGGGGCUGAAGUAGGUCCCAAGGGUAUGGCUGUUCGCCAUUUAAAGUGGUACGCGAGCUGGGUUUAGAACGUCGUGAGACAGUUCGGUCCCUAUCUGCCGUGGGCGCUGGAGAACUGAGGGGGGGCUGCUCCUAGUACGAGAGGACCGGAGUGGACGCAUCACUGGUGUUCGGGUUGUCAUGCCAAUGGCACUGCCCGGUAGCUAAAUGCGGAAGAGAUAAGUGCUGAAAGCAUCUAAGCACGAAACUUGCCCCGAGAUGAGUUCUCCCUGACCCUUUAAGGGUCCUGAAGGAACGUUGAAGACGACGACGUUGAUAGGCCGGGUGUGUAAGCGCAGCGAUGCGUUGAGCUAACCGGUACUAAUGAACCGUGAGGCUUAACCUUACAACGCCGAAGCUGUU